UUACAACAAUAAUGUCAUUUUUCCACUCAACUAAUUCUAGUUAAUUAAAUUAUAAUAGAUACCGCCACCAUCAAAGUCCGGUUUCCAGUUUGUUGCUGCAUAUAUUCUUUGUCAAUUACAUCAUAGGAAUGACAGAUGCUUCAACGUUUUAGUUUUUUCAAAUUCGUCUCUUGGAAUUCUACUUUUUACAUGGUUAAAAUGAGCAAAAUCAUUCAGCAAUCAAACAUAGAGAGUUUAAGAAGUGUCGGGUACGCGAAUUAGUUAGUGCUUGUGUUGUGUAAUUGACUAUAUUAUAUUAUAUUACAAAUAUUAUUGAACAUUAACGGGCCCCAACAGGCCUUCGGUACUUUUUAACGCAGUUUAAUAUGUACAGUACAGUAAUCAGUACAUAUUUCCGUCCUUUGAGUAACCAAAAACGUAGAAGAAACCUUGCUCAAAAUGUUCCAGAUUCCAGAGUUUACAUUGAAAAUUUCCAAUCUCUGGGACUCCUCCAGACAAGUGCGGCGCUCUUUUUGAAAAGUUUCCAGUAAGUUGUUUAAAUCGUUUUUCUUUGUUAUUAUGUCCACCUCAUUAUUAGUAAAUGUAUCCCUUAAA
This is a long non-coding RNA of Dendroctonus ponderosae (mountain pine beetle), 594 nucleotides long. RefSeq lists it as uncharacterized. NCBI's taxonomy places the organism in Eukaryota, Metazoa, Arthropoda, Insecta, Coleoptera, Curculionidae. The record is from RefSeq and is a predicted model, not a curated record. The transcript has 2 exons.